CACAGUGACCAUACUUGCUUGUCUGAUCUUGUCUAAUCUCUGAAUCUAAGUGGAGCCGGGCCUGGCUAGAACUCGGGUGGGAGACCGCUGGGAAUACCAGGUGCUACAGUGG
This 112-nucleotide ribosomal RNA is filed under the name Periophthalmus magnuspinnatus. Lineage: Eukaryota; Metazoa; Chordata; Actinopteri; Gobiiformes; Gobiidae. The record is from RNAcentral.